GGACUACCAGGGUUUCUAAUCCUGUUUGCUCCCCACGCUUUCGUGCCUCAGUGUCAGGUACUAACCAGAAAAGCGCCUUCGCCGCCGGCCUUCCCCCAGAUAUCUGCGCAUUUCACCGCUACACCUGGAGUUCCCUUUUCCCCUUUAGUCCUCAAGUCCUGCAGUAUAAAAAGCAAUUCCCCGGGUAAGCCGAGGGAUUUCACUCCUUACUUACAGAACCACCUACGCACCCUUUAAGCCCAGUGACACCGAACAACGUUCGCCCCUCACGUAUUACCGCGGCUGCUGGCAC
Molecule: ribosomal RNA, 292 nt
Filed under: uncultured bacterium
Lineage: Bacteria
Description: partial 16S ribosomal RNA
Source: RNAcentral